GAUGAACGCUGGCGGCGUGCCUAAUACAUGCGAGUCGAGCGAACAGACGAGGAGCUUGCUCCUCUGACGUUAGCGGCGGACGGGUGAGUAACACGUGGAUAACCUACCUAUAAGACUGGGAUAACUUCGGGAAACCGGAGCUAAUACCGGAUAAUAUAUUGAACCGCAUGGUUCAAUAGUGAAAGACGGUUUUGCUGUCACUUAUAGAUGGAUCCGCGCCGCAUUAGCUAGUUGGUAAGGUAACGGCUUACCAAGGCAACGAUGCGUAGCCGACCUGAGAGGGUGAUCGGCCACACUGGAACUGAGACACGGUCCAGACUCCUACGGGAGGCAGCAGUAGGGAAUCUUCCGCAAUGGGCGAAAGCCUGACGGAGCAACGCCGCGUGAGUGAUGAAGGUCUUCGGAUCGUAAAACUCUGUUAUUAGGGAAGAACAAAUGUGUAAGUAACUAUGCACGUCUGGACGGUACCUAAGCAGAAAGCCACGGCUAACUACGG
Molecule: ribosomal RNA, 496 nt
Filed under: uncultured bacterium
Lineage: Bacteria
Description: partial 16S ribosomal RNA
Rfam family: Bacterial small subunit ribosomal RNA
Source: RNAcentral